GACGAACGCUGGCGGCGUGCCUAACACAUGCAAGUCGAACGGAGUAAGUAGCAAUACUUACUUAGUGGCGAACGGGUGAGUAACGCGUAGACAACCUGCCUCUAAAUUGGGGACAACACCGCGAAAGUGGUGCUAAUACCGAAUGUGGUAUCUCUGUUGCAUGACUGAGAUAAGAAAGAUGGCCUCUACAUGUAAGCUAUCGUUUAGAGAUGGGUCUGCGUCUGAUUAGCUAGUUGGUGAGGGAAAGGCUCACCAAGGCGACGAGCAGUAGCCGGUCUGAGCGGAUGAACGGCCACACUGGGACUGAGACACGCCCCAGACUCCUACGGGAGGCAGCAGUGGGGAAUCUUCCGCAAUGGACGAAGGUCUGACGGAGCAACGCCGCGUGAGUGAAGAAGGCCUUCGGGUCGUAAAGCUCUGUCGUUUGGGACGAACGUGUUCCAUGCAAAUAGUGUGGAAUAAUGACGGUACCAAAGGAGGAAGCCACGGCUAACUACGUGCCAGCCGCCGCCGUAA
RNAcentral lists this ribosomal RNA (516 nucleotides) under uncultured bacterium. Its description in RNAcentral is "partial 16S ribosomal RNA". It matches the Rfam family "Bacterial small subunit ribosomal RNA", at positions 28 to 523 of the family's 1533-position model. The record is from RNAcentral.